RNAcentral lists this unclassified non-coding RNA (762 nucleotides) under Hevea brasiliensis (rubber tree). Lineage: Eukaryota; Viridiplantae; Streptophyta; Magnoliopsida; Malpighiales; Euphorbiaceae. The record is from RNAcentral.
GGAGAAAACACGAUGACACGAGCGUGCAAAAUAAGUACUCUCACCCUUUAGUCAUGGGAAUGCAAGCCAAGGCCUAAUUCACACAGUAUCCUGCAGUUGCACUACAGAGGCUUCGCCCCAUCAUUUUCUUGCACGCUAUUGACUGGAGUUGUGGAGCCACUUCUCUUGCUGGAUUGCCCAGUGAGUGACCUGCCCAUGAACUUUCCAGCUUUACUUAGGCCACUGCCAACAGCUCCAAUGCCGCUGCCCACAAUGCCAACUCCAGCUCCAAUGCCGCUGCCCACGAUGCCAACUCCAGCUCCAACCCCAGUUCCCACGAGCCCAACUCCAGUUCCCACGAGCCCAACUCCAGCACCAAUACCAGUACCCACCAUUCCAACACCUGAACCCACCAGUGACACAGCUCCAUCAAGUGCAUCCAUUGUGCUCCCUAUAACUCCUGCUUCUUUUAGCUUCUUUCUUGCUUCUAGGAUCCUCUUCUCUUCUUCCAAAGCAAUCAAUUGCUCCUCCUUGUUAAAAAUUCAUGGUACAAAACCUUAAUUGUAAGAGUUCCUCUAUCCUUCUUAUCCUUGAUCUUCAACAUGUCAAGAGAUGGUAGCAGUCUUAACUCCAUUUCUUUCGAAGUUUCUGCUUCCAGCUCAAUUAAAGGCACUUUUGUUAUUCCCAAUCUCUUGUCUUGCCCAAUAUCCUUAUCAAAAACCUCAAGAAUAAGUGACUGAGUCUCCUUGUCUUCAGCAAUCAACUCGAAUGUUUUAUCCCAAA